AGAAUCAACGCUGGCGGCGUGCCUAACACAUGCAAGUCGAACGAGAAAGUGGAGCAAUCCAUGAGUAAAGUGGCGCACGGGUGAGUAACACGUGAUUAACCUACCCUUGAGUGGGGGAUAACCUAGAGAAAUCUGGGCUAAUACCGCAUAAUACCUUCGGGUCAAAGGAGCAAUUCGCUUAAGGAGGGGGUCGCGGCCGAUUAGUUAGUUGGCGGGGUAAUGGCCCACCAAGACUGUGAUCGGUAUCCGGCCUGAGAGGGCGCACGGACACACUGGAACUGAAACACGGUCCAGACUCCUACGGGAGGCAGCAGUGGGGAAUUUGCGCAAUGGGGGAAACCCUGACGCAGCAACGCCGCGUGGAGGAUGAAGCCCCUUGGGGCGUAAACUCCUUUCGAUCGGGAAGAUAAUGACGGUACCGAGAGAAGAAGCCCCGGCUAACUUCGUGCCAGCAGCCGC
Molecule: ribosomal RNA, 459 nt
Filed under: uncultured bacterium
Lineage: Bacteria
Description: SSU rRNA
Rfam family: Bacterial small subunit ribosomal RNA
Source: RNAcentral